This 231-nucleotide ribosomal RNA is filed under the name uncultured bacterium. RNAcentral describes it as "partial 16S ribosomal RNA". It matches the Rfam family "Bacterial small subunit ribosomal RNA", at positions 118 to 348 of the family's 1533-position model. The record is from RNAcentral.
UGAGCAAUCUGCCCUUCUCAUCGGAAUAAGCGUUGGAAACGACGUCUAAUGCCGAAUACGACCUCCUUUCGCAUGAUCGGAGGUGGAAAGCUCCGGCGGAGAAGGAUGAGCUCGCGGCCUAUCAGCUAGUUGGUGUGGGUAAUGGCCCACCAAGGCGACGACGGGUAGCCAGCCUGAGAGGGUGACCGGCCACACUGGGACUGAGACACGGCCCAGACUCCCGUAGGGAGG